Molecule: long non-coding RNA, 458 nt
Filed under: Mytilus galloprovincialis (Mediterranean mussel)
Lineage: Eukaryota; Metazoa; Mollusca; Bivalvia; Mytilida; Mytilidae
Source: RNAcentral
AAUUUUUUUUAAAGAUUUUUAAUAAGUUCUAAAGUUAAUCAAUAAUGCUUUAAAUAAUAAUAAGAAUAUAAAGGGAAAAACAAGUUAAGAGUUGUCUCAUUGCCACUCAUACCACAUCUUCCUAUGUCUAAGUUCGUAAAUGUCAUGAUUGCUAGUCUCUUUUUCAACAAUUAUAUAUCACAUGAAAAAUAAACAGUAUAAAUAAAUUAUACUCCUAGUUAAUAUGAUUUACAAGCAUUGCAGGAAACAUAAUUAAGAUAAUGUUACUUCUUCUGCGUUCGAGACGUUUAGCCCUAUGGUCUCCAAAAACGAUUGGAUUGUAUAUAUAAUAUAUGUAACAAUACAGGCAGAAAACAAGCUGAUGAACGAAUUUUAUUCAUUCCAAUAACUUAAACUGUAUUAGUUUAAACAAUAAUGCCAACAGAUAAAUGCUGUUUUUAUUCUAACAAUAAACGAGG